Long non-coding RNA from Daphnia magna, 654 nucleotides. RefSeq lists it as uncharacterized. The transcript has 6 exons. NCBI's taxonomy places the organism in Eukaryota, Metazoa, Arthropoda, Branchiopoda, Diplostraca, Daphniidae. The record is from RefSeq and is a predicted model, not a curated record.
UUUUCUUUGGAUUUCAGGCGGAAAAACUAGAUGGCGUUGAUGUGCGUCUAUGAUUAAUAUUACGAGUGACAAGUUAAAUGGGUGUUUGUUACGUUUAUAAAUGUUUAGUGUUUCAAAGGAUUUUUCGUCAAAAAAAUUGCGAGUUUUGCCUUGUCAGUUGCUGCUAUCAAAAAUGUACCACAAGGUAUGCUGACACUUUAAGAAGACCAACAGUGACCACUAUGCCUGAGACAUGAACUAUCACCAUGCUGUUCAGAGUCCUCGUCUACUAUGUGUUGCUAACCAUCAGCCUUCAUCAUCCCAUGUAUCCAGAUUUUAAAGCUUCUCUGCUCAGCCAGCCAUCCUCCAUACACUUCAGCUCUUCAUUGUGGCUUCUCUUCCUCUCUUCUUAGCCUGCCAAAUGCAAACAGGAAUAAAGGUUCAUCUCCAUUGCCAUACCAUGAAAUUGAUAAUGUCAUUGUUAAUCCUGCUGCCAAAUCGUCUUCCCGUACGAGUCAUGCAGUUUUAGAUUCCUCAUGGAAUUUCCUUGCAACAUCCACCCAGGCUGAAAAGGACAUCCUACUAGUUGUGUGGACCAAACCUGCCUCGCCAUCCUCGCCGUCUUCGCCUCGCCGUCUUCGCCAUCCUCGCCGUCUUCGCCUCGCCGUCUUCGCC